CCUAUAGAUUUUUACAAUUAUUGCAAAUGUCAUUCUUUUCAUAAACUUUGAAAAAAAAUAUUUUUUUAACAAAAAAAAAAGGACAAUAACAGAGGUUUAUUUCAUCUAAUUGAGGCAUAGGAAUAUUCCUAUAUGCAUGGUGGCAAUAGAGCAAAGGCAAUCCUUUAUUAAGCUAUUAUAUCGUACUUCAAAUAAUAGUUAGAUUUAUAAAUUGCCUCUAAAUUUUAAGUGCGAACGUUUAUUACAAAAUUGCCGAAGAAUGCAAAUAGGAAAGAGACAUUUUGAAAUUGCUACAAAAUGGAUCCCAUCUGCAUUAACUUAUGGAGGAGCAGCUGGUUUGACACUGAUUUAUUUUACCGAUUGGAAAGUAGUAGCUAGAUACAUACCAUUUUAUGGAAGCAAAUUUGACAACUAAGUUGUAAAAUAUAUUUAUUGUAAUAUGUUACUUAAUAAAUUAUAGUACUAUAUAAUUUAAUGGAUUAUUUAUUAAAUAUAUGCAUUACAUUCUG
Molecule: unclassified non-coding RNA, 509 nt
Filed under: Bombus terrestris (buff-tailed bumblebee)
Lineage: Eukaryota; Metazoa; Arthropoda; Insecta; Hymenoptera; Apidae
Description: misc RNA ENSBTSG00005036561.1
Source: RNAcentral